CGCACGCGCGCUACACUGAACGGAGCCAGCGAGUACUUCCUUGGCCGAAAGGCCCGGGUAAUCUUGUUAAACUCCGUCGUGCUGGGGAUAGAGCAUUGCAAUUAUUGCUCUUCAACGAGGAAUCCCUAGUAAGCGCAAGUCAUCAGCUUGCGUUGAUUACGUCCCUGCCCUUUGUACACACCGCCCGUCGCUACUACCGAUUGAAUGGCUCAGUGAGGCGUCCGGACUGGCCCAGGGAGGUGGGCAACUACCACCCAGGGCCGGAAAGCUCUCCAAACUCGGUCAUUUAGAGGAAGUAAAAGUCGUAACAAGGUCUCCGUUGGUGAACCAGCGGAGGGAUCAUUACCGAGUUAUUCAACUCAUCAACCCUGUGAACUUACCUAAACGUUGCUUCGGCGGGAAUAGACGGCCCCGUAAAACGGGCCGCCCCCGCCAGAGGACCCUUAACUCUGUUUCUUAUAGUGUUUCUUCUGAGUAAAACAAGCAAAUAAAUUAAAACUUUCAACAACGGAUCUCUUGGCUCUGGCAUCGAUGAAGAACGCAGCGAAAUGCGAUAAGUAAUGUGAAUUGCAGAAUUCAGUGAAUCAUCGAAUCUUUGAACGCACAUUGCGCCCGCCAGUAUUCUGGCGGGCAUGCCUGUUCGAGCGUCAUUACAACCCUCAGGCCCCCGGGCCUGGGGUUUGGGGAAU
Molecule: ribosomal RNA, 689 nt
Filed under: Hypocreales sp. LM583
Lineage: Eukaryota; Fungi; Ascomycota; Sordariomycetes; Hypocreales
Description: bacterial SSU rRNA
Rfam family: Eukaryotic small subunit ribosomal RNA (bases 1-345)
Source: RNAcentral